Molecule: ribosomal RNA, 443 nt
Filed under: uncultured bacterium
Lineage: Bacteria
Description: partial 16S ribosomal RNA
Rfam family: Bacterial small subunit ribosomal RNA
Source: RNAcentral
CCUACGGGUGGCAGCAGUGGGGAAUAUUGGGCAAUGGGCGCAAGCCUGACCGAGCAACGCCGCGUGAAGGAAGAAGGCUUUCGGGUUGUAAACUUCUUUUCUCAGGGACGAAGAAAGUGACGGUACAUGAGGAAUAAGCCACGGCUAACUACGUGCCAGCAGCCGCGGUAAUACGUAGGUGGCAAGCGUUAUCCGGAUUUACGGGGUGUAAAGGGCGGGUAGGCGGGACUGCAAGUCAGAUGUGAAAACCACGGGCUCAACCUGUGGCCUGCAUUGGAAACUGGAGGUCUUGAGUACUGGAGAGGCAGACGGAAUUCCUAGUGUAGCGGUGAAAUGCGUAGAUAUUAGGAGGAACACCAGUGGCGAAGGCGGUCUGCUGGACAGCAACUGACGCUGAGGCGCGAAAGCGUGGGGAGCAAACAGGAUUAGAUACCCCUGUAGUC